Molecule: unclassified non-coding RNA, 227 nt
Filed under: Hevea brasiliensis (rubber tree)
Lineage: Eukaryota; Viridiplantae; Streptophyta; Magnoliopsida; Malpighiales; Euphorbiaceae
Source: RNAcentral
CAGUUGCACACCAUUUUACGUAUAAGCAACUAUCUCUCCCUUUCAACUCUUUCAUCUUGAGUCCAUUUAUGUCUAUAUAUACCUGCAAAAUCUGUUUCAAGAACCAUCAAACCAAAACUCAAGAAACAUUUUGCAUAGCUCUCUCUCUCUCUCUUCAAUUAGUCCUUUAGUGUUACUAAAAUUAUAUACUCCGAUGGCCAAAGACAGCUCCAAGAAAUCAAUCCAAG